RNAcentral lists this ribosomal RNA (613 nucleotides) under Vibrio sp. TA19. RNAcentral's name for it is "bacterial SSU rRNA". It matches the Rfam family "Bacterial small subunit ribosomal RNA", at positions 167 to 775 of the family's 1533-position model. Lineage: Bacteria; Pseudomonadati; Pseudomonadota; Gammaproteobacteria; Vibrionales; Vibrionaceae. The record is from RNAcentral.
UACCGCAUGAUGCCUACGGGCCAAAGAGGGGGACCUUCGGGCCUCUCGCGUCAGGAUAUGCCUAGGUGGGAUUAGCUAGUUGGUGAGGUAAGGGCUCACCAAGGCGACGAUCCCUAGCUGGUCUGAGAGGAUGAUCAGCCACACUGGAACUGAGACACGGUCCAGACUCCUACGGGAGGCAGCAGUGGGGAAUAUUGCACAAUGGGCGCAAGCCUGAUGCAGCCAUGCCGCGUGUAUGAAGAAGGCCUUCGGGUUGUAAAGUACUUUCAGUCGUGAGGAAGGCGGCGUCGUUAAUAGCGGCGUUGUUUGACGUUAGCGACAGAAGAAGCACCGGCUAACUCCGUGCCAGCAGCCGCGGUAAUACGGAGGGUGCGAGCGUUAAUCGGAAUUACUGGGCGUAAAGCGCAUGCAGGUGGUUUGUUAAGUCAGAUGUGAAAGCCCGGGGCUCAACCUCGGAAUAGCAUUUGAAACUGGCAGACUAGAGUACUGUAGAGGGGGGUAGAAUUUCAGGUGUAGCGGUGAAAUGCGUAGAGAUCUGAAGGAAUACCGGUGGCGAAGGCGGCCCCCUGGACAGAUACUGACACUCAAAUGCGAAAGCGUGGGGAGCAAACAG